This 337-nucleotide unclassified non-coding RNA is filed under the name soil metagenome. RNAcentral describes it as "partial contains 5.8S ribosomal RNA, internal transcribed spacer 2, and large subunit ribosomal RNA". The stretch from base 1 to 120 matches the Rfam family "5.8S ribosomal RNA", at positions 35 to 154 of the family's 154-position model. The record is from RNAcentral.
GAUGAAGAACGUAGCGAAAUGCGAUAAGUAGUGUGAAUUGCAGAAUUCAGUGAAUCAUCGAAUCUUUGAACGCACAUUGCGCCCCAUGGUAUUCCGUGGGGCAUGCCUGUUCGAGCGUCAUUUACCCCCUCAAGCUCCGCUUGGUGUUGGGCGUCUGUCCCGCUUCGCGCGCGGACUCGCCCCAAAGGUAUUGGCAGCGGUCGUGCCAGCUUCUCGCGCAGCACAUUGCGCUUCUCGAGGCACCGGUGGGCCCGCGUCCAUCAAGCUCACCCCCCCAGUUUGACCUCGGAUCAGGUAGGGAUACUCGCUGAACUUAAGCAUAUCAAUAAGCGGAGGA